This 449-nucleotide ribosomal RNA is filed under the name uncultured bacterium. RNAcentral's name for it is "partial 16S ribosomal RNA". It matches the Rfam family "Bacterial small subunit ribosomal RNA", at positions 29 to 523 of the family's 1533-position model. The record is from RNAcentral.
AACGAACGCUGGCGGCAGGCUUAACACAUGCAAGUCGAACGAGAUCUUCGGAUCUAGUGGCAGACGGGUGGGGAACACGUGGGAACAUCCCUUUCAGUUCGGAAUAACGUUGGGAAACUAACGCUAAUACCGGAUACGUCCUUCGGGAGAAAGAUUUAUCGCUGAAAGAUUGGCCCGCGUCUGAUUAGCUAGUUGGUGAGGUAAUGGCUCAACAAGGCUACGAUCAGUAGCUGAUCUGAGAGGAUGAUCAGCCACAUUGGGACUGAGACACGGCCCAAACUCCUACGGGAGGCAGCAGUGGGGAAUAUUGGACAAUGGGCGCAAGCCUGAUCCAGCCAUGCCGCGUGAGUGAUGACGGCCUUCGGGUUGUAAAGCUCUUUUGUCCGGGAAGAUAAUGACUGUACCGGAAGAAUAAGCCCCGGCAAACUUCGUGCCAGCAGCCGCCGUAA